UACGAACCGUACAAACGUUAUUCGGAAUUACUGGGCGUAAAGCGUAUGCAGGCGGAUCGUUAAGUCGGGGGUGAAAUCCCGAGGCUCAACCUCGGAACUGCCUUCGAUACUGGCGACCUUCGAGUCCGGGAGAGGUGAGUGGAACUCCGAGUGUAGAGGUGAAAUUCGUAGAUAUUCGGAAGAACACCAGUGGCGAAGGCGGCUCACUGGCCCGGUACUGACGCUGAGAUACGAAAGCGUGGGGAGCAAACAGG
This 254-nucleotide ribosomal RNA is filed under the name uncultured bacterium. Its description in RNAcentral is "partial 16S ribosomal RNA". It matches the Rfam family "Bacterial small subunit ribosomal RNA", at positions 524 to 776 of the family's 1533-position model. The record is from RNAcentral.